UUUACCUAAGAAUGCAUAUUU
RNAcentral lists this non-coding RNA (21 nucleotides) under Caenorhabditis elegans. Lineage: Eukaryota; Metazoa; Nematoda; Chromadorea; Rhabditida; Rhabditidae. The record is from RNAcentral.